UACGGUCGCAUCACGUUGAAACACCGGUUCCCGUAUGAUCACCGAAGUUAAACAACGUCGAGCCUGGUCAGUACCUAGAUGAGUGACCACUUGAGAAUACCAGGAGCUGUAAG
Molecule: ribosomal RNA, 113 nt
Filed under: Acanthosepion pharaonis
Lineage: Eukaryota; Metazoa; Mollusca; Cephalopoda; Sepiida; Sepiidae
Source: RNAcentral